GGCGAAAUUGUAGUGCAAGUGAAGAUGCUUGCUACCCGCGAUUGGACGGAAAGACCCCGUAGAGCUUUACUGUAGCUUAGCAUUGAAUCUCGGUAUUGUCUGUACAGGAUAGGUGGGAGACUUGGAAGCUUGGGCGUCAGCCUGAGUGGAGUCAUCCUUGGGAUACCACCCUGACAGUACUGGGGUUCUAACCGGCGGCCAUGA
This 204-nucleotide ribosomal RNA is filed under the name Clostridium botulinum. RNAcentral describes it as "partial 23S ribosomal RNA". It matches the Rfam family "Bacterial large subunit ribosomal RNA", at positions 2035 to 2238 of the family's 2925-position model. The record is from RNAcentral. Lineage: Bacteria; Bacillati; Bacillota; Clostridia; Eubacteriales; Clostridiaceae.